RNAcentral lists this long non-coding RNA (2243 nucleotides) under Zonotrichia albicollis (white-throated sparrow). RNAcentral describes it as "lncRNA (ENSZALG00000016156.1)". The record is from RNAcentral. Lineage: Eukaryota; Metazoa; Chordata; Aves; Passeriformes; Passerellidae.
GGAUAUGUGCUGCUUUAGAACUUAAAAUCAGGGUGCUGAGCUGUGCCUGUGGGAAUGCACACUGAGUGGUGAGCUCUGCUGGGUCUGAUGGUACCACAAAACAGACACAUCAAGGACACAAAGUCCUUUCUCUGCUGCCAAGCUGCUGUGUCAGGCUGAAAGCCUCAGCACCUCAGGUAUUAACCAGCCUAGGGGCUGGGGGGGAUUUUUCUUCACUGUUGUGUUCACUUCAGAGAAAUCAACCAAACUGAAGAUGUGCUGACCUCUUGAGACUGAACUAGAAGAUCCCUUGACACAAAAUCCUGUAAGUGUAUUUAUCCAGGGAGUCCAGUUCAAAGGGCCAGACAGGAUUCCCAGAGCUGAAAGCACGAGCCAUGUCAGCUGCAAUCUAAAUUAAGUGACAAUGCUGACUGUGACAGAGAAGGAGACCAGACAGCAGCUCUGUGUUAGCUGUGGCACUGGGACUCAGCAGUUCCUUCUGAGACCAAUCACACACAGCUUCCUUGGGAAAGAGGAGUGAGUUUGCUGGAACAGCUGGUGGAGAUGACAGGUUAUUCAGAUAUCUUUUUUGAGUGCCAACAAAACAAAGGCAUACUAUCUUUAAUGCUUGUGUUAUAAACAACUUGCCUCCAUUUCCAAAUACCCUCCACCUUUCCUUCGCCCAUAUGAACACUUUAAACAGAGAGCUACUUUGUAAAUCUCUCAAAAACUUCUGAUUGCACUUUUCUUAUCUGUUCAAUUCAUAGCCAAGUCACAGUAGAAUAUCUGUGUACCUUUGUUACACAUACACCAGACUUAUGUUUGAUUUAUGCUGCCACUGUUUCCAAACCCAUUCCUUAGUAGCCUUUCCAUCCUGACUAGGAGAUGAGUAACUUUCUUAGAAGGAUUAUUUUUAUCCUUUCUGGUUUUCAGUUCCUUUCCAUUUUUCUUGGCCAUCUACUUGACUGCACAGCCUACUGCUCAGUUCCCUCUGCUUUCCAGAGCUCAGAUGCAAGUCCUGCCUUGUCUGCAUAACAAGAGUUGUCUCCUACCCCAGUGUUUCUUUCAACUGAUCCUGUUAUCAGCCCAUAGCCUGGUAUUUUUCAGUUUCAGGUGGAAUAUUCAGGUGCCAUUCUGUAUUUCAGUGCAGCUGCUUUCAUUAGUGUUUAGAACAAUCCUGGAAUGCUCCUGGCAGUCGAGUUCCCUGUUCCACUGGUGCAGCUGCUCAGUUACAUGCCUGCUGCCCAUGGUGAGUGUGCUGUGAAAAUGCAUCAUGCCUCCUGCCACGUGGGAGAAGUGAUGUGUUUUAGUUUGCUGUUUUGCAGAAAACAUUGUUUGCCAUAUGUCUCAACAGAGCCUGCUUCUCUUUUUCAAGAAAUUGGCCAAGAAAUUUAAUUUGUGUUUUAGUCUUUUUUGCAUCCUGACUAGAGAUUGGCACGUGAAUUAUUUAAUUAAGCUGUGAAUAUUGCUGGGUAUUGCUAAGUUACACAAAUACUGUGUCAUUUAGCUAUUUAUGACUAACAAAACUAACAGUACAAAAAAAAACUAAUUAAAAGCUAAAUAAUCUUGGAGACUUUUGACCAGCUGUUAUAUAUCCAUACAACACCAUUCUGUUGAAUAAGGGAGCUAUUGUUGAGGCUUUUGACACAGAAAAGAAAAAAGAUGGGAAAAAAUUGUGAUAUUUUUCUUUUGGUUUUCCUCAUGUCCAAAAGAAAGCUGCAGCCUGUGGCAUUUCAGCUGGGCCUGGGGUGAGGGAACCACUGGCAGCUGCUCACACAGAAAUGUGCUGAACAGGAACCACACCAUAAACAAAAACACACUGGGCCUUCCAUGGGCAAAGCACCAGAGCAGAAUAUUAACCCCAGAACCUGCCUAGGUAGAAAUUCCUUUUGCUUGGGCAUAGCAGAUAACAAGGUUUUGUGCCUCUCUUUUUGGCAUGUGUGGUGCCACAGACUCCCCAGGAACCUUCCUUCAUUCUGCUGCUUAAUGAGCUGAUCUCUGGAGGGGCAGCUAUUUACUGAUUCACUGCUGGCUCACACCUUCAGCACAUGGUUUCUCUCACAGUGGUCCAGGAAACUCACUGCACCUCAAACCACAAGCACUGGCAAGAAUGCUCAUGCAGCCAUUGUGGGAUUUCCUCACUGUGCUGCAGAAAUUAUUUAAAAAUGGAAUAAUCCCUUCAAAUGGCUUCAGCAGUAAUGAGGGACUCAGGUACCUUAGAACAAACACAGUGUUGGAAACAAUACUGUUUUAAACAUCAGUAC